This is a long non-coding RNA of Lontra canadensis (Northern American river otter), 209 nucleotides long. RefSeq lists it as uncharacterized. Lineage: Eukaryota; Metazoa; Chordata; Mammalia; Carnivora; Mustelidae. The transcript has 3 exons. The record is from RefSeq and is a predicted model, not a curated record.
CCUGCCUCCGCCUUGCGUGCUUGGGGCGGCCCUGGCCCCAGAAGGGCCGCCAGCUGAAUUUUCCCGGACUAGAUGAGCUGUUAACCCCUGAAAUAUGGAUGCUUCUGGAAGCUGUGGAACAAGGAAGGCUGGCCCGCUCGGGCAGUUCCAGCCCAGAGCUGCGAUGGUCUUGAACAACUUGGAGGUGUUGGUGAUGGAUACAAUUAUCU